GAUGAACGCUGGCGGCGUGCCUAAUACAUGCAAGUCGAGCGAACAGAUAAGGAGCUUGCUCCUUUGACGUUAGCGGCGGACGGGUGAGUAACACGUGGGUAACCUACCUAUAAGACUGGGAUAACUUCGGGAAACCGGAGCUAAUACCGGAUAACAUUUGGAACCGCAUGGUUCUACAGUGAAAGAUGGUUUUGCUAUCACUUAUAGAUGGACCCGCGCCGUAUUAGCUAGUUGGUAAGGUAACGGCUUACCAAGGCGACGAUACGUAGCCGACCUUAGAGGGUGAUCGGCCACACUGGAACUGAGACACGGUCCAGACUCCUACGGGAGGCAGCAGUAGGGAAUCUUCCGCAAUGGGCGAAAGCCUGACGGAGCAACGCCGCGUGAGUGAUGAAGGGUUUCGGCUCGUAAAACUCUGUUAUUAGGGAAGAACAAAUGUGUAAGUAACUGUGCACGUCUUGACGGUACCUAAUCAGAAAGCCACGGCUAACUACGUG
Molecule: ribosomal RNA, 497 nt
Filed under: uncultured bacterium
Lineage: Bacteria
Description: partial 16S ribosomal RNA
Rfam family: Bacterial small subunit ribosomal RNA
Source: RNAcentral